Molecule: ribosomal RNA, 289 nt
Filed under: unidentified marine bacterioplankton
Lineage: Bacteria
Description: partial 16S ribosomal RNA
Rfam family: Bacterial small subunit ribosomal RNA
Source: RNAcentral
CAAGUCGAGCGCCCUGGACCCUGCUUACAAUUAUAUUGUAGUUAGCGUCCAGGGAGCGGCGAACGGCUGAGUAACACGUUGGACGCCUACCCCGAACUCAGGGAUAACCUGGCCGAAAGGCAUGGCUAAUACCGGAUGGUACCCGGAAAGGGUUAAAGUAGUUUUCGGUUCGGGAGGGGCCUGCGGCCUAUCAGUUUGUUGGUGAGGUAAUAGCUCACCAAGACUAUGACGGGUAACUGGUCUGAGAGGGUGAUCAGUCAGAAUGGAACUGAGACACGGUCCAUACUCC